GAUGAACGCUGGCGGCGUGCCUAAUACAUGCAAGUCGAGCGAACGGACGAGAAGCUUGCUUCUCUGAUGUUUGCGGCGGACGGGUGAGUAACACGUGGAUAACCUGCCUAUAAGACUGGGAUAACUUCGGGAAACCGGAGCUAAUACCGGAUAAUAUUUUGAACCGCAUGGUUCAAAAGUGAAAGACGGUCUUGCUGUCACUUAUAGAUGGAUCCGCGCUGCAUUAGCUAGUUGGUAAGGUAACGGCUUACCAAGGCAACGAUGCAUAGCCGACCUGAGAGGGUGAUCGGCCACACUGGAACUGAGACACGGUCCAGACUCCUACGGGAGGCAGCAGUAGGGAAUCUUCCGCAAUGGGCGAAAGCCUGACGGAGCAACGCCGCGUGAGUGAUGAAGGUCUUCGGAUCGUAAAACUCUGUCAUUAGGGAAGAACAUAUGUGUAAGUAACUGUGCACAUCUUGACGGUACCUAAUCAGAAAGCCACGGCUAACUACGUG
This 497-nucleotide ribosomal RNA is filed under the name uncultured bacterium. Its description in RNAcentral is "partial 16S ribosomal RNA". It matches the Rfam family "Bacterial small subunit ribosomal RNA", at positions 28 to 507 of the family's 1533-position model. The record is from RNAcentral.